GAAUUAUGAAAAUAUGUAAUUAAGCUGUCCUAGCUGCCCCUCCUUCAUCAGGCUCAGUUAAUGCUAUGAUAGACAAAAGGCGGUGCCACAUACCUGCGCUCCCUGAUGAGUCCAGGGAGGAUGCUGUGGUUGGCAUCCAACAACUUGAUCACAAAGGAUUUCAUUGUUUGGAGCACUUGGUACCUGUGGCUGUGGUAUGACAGGGGAUUC
Cricetulus griseus (Chinese hamster) is the source of this 210-nucleotide non-coding RNA. The record is from Ensembl. Lineage: Eukaryota; Metazoa; Chordata; Mammalia; Rodentia; Cricetidae.